GACGAACGCUGGCGGCGUGCUUAACACAUGCAAGUCGAACGGUAAGGCCCUUCGGGGUACACGAGUGGCGAACGGGUGAGUAACACGUGGGUGAUCUGCCCUGCACUUCGGGAUAAGCCUGGGAAACUGGGUCUAAUACCGGAUAGGACCCUGGGAUGCAUGUCCUGGGUGGGAAAGCUUUUGCGGUGUGGGAUGGGCCGGCGGCCUAUCAGCUUGUUGGUGGGGUGAUGGCCUACCAAGGCGACGACGGGUAGCCGGCCUGAGAGGGUGACCGGCCACACUGGGACUGAGAUACGGCCCAGACUCCUACGGGAGGCAGCAGUGGGGAAUAUUGCACAAUGGGCGCAAGCCUGAUGCAGCGACGCCGCGUGAGGGAUGACGGCCUUCGGGUUGUAAACCUCUUUCAGCACCGACGAAGCGCAAGUGACGGUAGGUGCAGAAGAAGGACCGGCCAACUACGUGCCAGCAGCCGCCGUAA
This 478-nucleotide ribosomal RNA is filed under the name uncultured bacterium. RNAcentral's name for it is "partial 16S ribosomal RNA". It matches the Rfam family "Bacterial small subunit ribosomal RNA", at positions 28 to 523 of the family's 1533-position model. The record is from RNAcentral.